This 581-nucleotide unclassified non-coding RNA is filed under the name Hevea brasiliensis (rubber tree). The record is from RNAcentral. Lineage: Eukaryota; Viridiplantae; Streptophyta; Magnoliopsida; Malpighiales; Euphorbiaceae.
GCUUCUCAGUUGGCUCAGCAAGCUCUGGGUGAACAAAAGCAGACAGAUCAAGAUGCUGAAAGCAAUAAUAUCAGUUUUCAGUCCAGCAGUGUCCCCGGAAGGAACACUCUAGAAGAUUUGAAAAUUAAUCAUGAAGAGCAACCAAUUGAUGUGAAGUCAUCAGGGAAAGGAGAGGCUAGUCUUAACAAUGUUUACCUCAAAAAGCUUGAUAUCUCAGCAGAUCUGACAGAGCCCGAGUUGUUUGAUCGAUGUACUAGUUUAAUGGAUGUUGAGCAGAUCUUGACAUCUGAUAACUCAAAGAUCUUAUUCUUGGAGGGUGCUGUAGAAUCUAAUGUAGUGCUGCCCAGCAAAUUUUCAACUGUUCCACUCAUUGCUACUGUGGCUGAUUCUGUUUUUCAGAAAGCCAUUUCCCUUUACAAGAGGAGGGAGAAAAUUGAAUUCACAAAUGGUGGACAUUUUACUUUCUCUGGUCAGCUAGGUGUGUCCUCUCCUGCACCUAAAUUAGAGAAUUCAAGUUCAGUUCAUGGUAAACUUGAAUGCUCCGGUCUGGUGGAUGAUGCGCUAGUAGAAGAGGGUGAUGA